AAAUGUACAUUCAAACUCUUCGUUUUCUUUCAACAAAAGUUUCAUAAUUUCUUUACACACUCAACUGUUAACUGGGUCAAUUUGACCUUGCUAUAACACUUUCUGCAUAUCUGCGCAAAUAUCAGAUGAAAUAUACACAAUGUCCUAUAGAGAAAGAUGGAUAAAGCUUGAAAUGAAAUCUUUCAAUCGUUUAUAUCAACAAUGACUCCUCUGUAAGUAUGGUUAAGAGGGAGUACUUCACUUUCAUUCUUAUCCUACUAUCUUCUACACACAGCUUUGCACCAGUAACCACCCAGUAACCAGG
This 304-nucleotide unclassified non-coding RNA is filed under the name Hevea brasiliensis (rubber tree). Lineage: Eukaryota; Viridiplantae; Streptophyta; Magnoliopsida; Malpighiales; Euphorbiaceae. The record is from RNAcentral.